This 480-nucleotide long non-coding RNA is filed under the name Gallus gallus (chicken). RNAcentral describes it as "long non-coding RNA NONGGAT001140". The record is from RNAcentral. Lineage: Eukaryota; Metazoa; Chordata; Aves; Galliformes; Phasianidae.
CUGGGAGGGGCUCAGAUUCAUCAGGGCCUCAGCAGGACUAUCAACCUCAGAUCAUGCCCUCAUGCACAGUAGUGCCUGUGUGAAGCUGUGUGUGAGCCCUCCCUGUAUCUGGAAUGCAAACCCUAAACCCCAGGGCAAGGCAGCAGGUGAACCUGCACGAGGAAGGUGGGCAGCAAGUGGUCAGGCAGCAGCACAUCCUCACACAGUAUUUCAGAGCACACACAAUCCUCACAGGAAGACCCACAGCUCAGAUGUUCAGUGAAAAGAAGAGUGAGAUGGAAUCUGGUGCCUGAGCAUCACUUGGGCCUCCUGGAAAGGACCCUGAGUGCUUAAAAUAGGCUGUUUAGUCAAGAUAAACCUCUGCUUAUAAGGAGCUCCUUUUUCAUGUAACCUGACUGUUCAUUAAAUGACUCUGACGAUGGCGCUGAUGGCUGAAGUGACCUUCAUCAGUACAAUUCAUGCUCACCAAUUUACCACAUA